RNAcentral lists this unclassified non-coding RNA (348 nucleotides) under soil metagenome. RNAcentral describes it as "partial contains 5.8S ribosomal RNA, internal transcribed spacer 2, and large subunit ribosomal RNA". The stretch from base 1 to 120 matches the Rfam family "5.8S ribosomal RNA", at positions 35 to 154 of the family's 154-position model. The record is from RNAcentral.
GAUGAAGAACGUAGCGAAAUGCGAUAAGUAAUGUGAAUUGCAGAAUUCAGUGAAUCAUCGAGUCUUUGAACGCACAUUGCGCCCCCUGGUAUUCCGGGGGGCAUGCCUGUCCGAGCGUCAUUGCCGCCCUCAAGCACGGCUUGUGUGUUGGGCCCCCGCCCCCCGGCUUCGGGGGGCGGGCCCGAAAGGCAGCGGCGGCACCGCGUCCGGUCCUCGAGCGUAUGGGACUUCGUCACCCGCUCUGUAGGCCCGGCCGGCGCCCGCCGGCGACCCCAAUCAAUCUUUCCAGGUUGACCUCGGAUCAGGUAGGGAUACCCGCUGAACUUAAGCAUAUCAAUAAGCGGAGGA